CGUGUAGGCGGUUUGGUAAGUCUGAUGUGAAAGCCCUGGGCUCAACCCAGGAAGUGCAUUGGAUACUGUCAGACUUGAAUACGGGAGAGGGCAGUGGAAUUCCUAGUGUAGGAGUGAAAUCCGUAGAUAUUAGGAGGAACACCGGUGGCGAAGGCGGCUGCCUGGACCGAUAUUGACGCUGAGACGCGAAAGCGUGGGUAGCAAACA
RNAcentral lists this ribosomal RNA (207 nucleotides) under uncultured delta proteobacterium. Its description in RNAcentral is "partial 16S ribosomal RNA". It matches the Rfam family "Bacterial small subunit ribosomal RNA", at positions 568 to 774 of the family's 1533-position model. Lineage: Bacteria; Deltaproteobacteria. The record is from RNAcentral.